Small nuclear RNA from Suncus etruscus (white-toothed pygmy shrew), 107 nucleotides. The record is from RefSeq and is a predicted model, not a curated record. Lineage: Eukaryota; Metazoa; Chordata; Mammalia; Eulipotyphla; Soricidae.
GUGCUCAUUUCCAGAGCACAUAUACUAAAAUUGGAACUAUACAGAGAAGAUUAGCAUGGCCCCUGCACAAGGAUGACGCACAAAUUUGUGAAGUGUUUUAUAUUUAA